RNAcentral lists this long non-coding RNA (278 nucleotides) under Hordeum vulgare. RNAcentral's name for it is "long non-coding RNA (HVUL_LNC002947)". The record is from RNAcentral. Lineage: Eukaryota; Viridiplantae; Streptophyta; Magnoliopsida; Poales; Poaceae.
ACAUGUCUGUAGAAAAGAAUGCACGACACAAGUGUUUUAGGCAUUUGGCAUGCAGGGUACAGUAGAUGUUAUGAUUUAUGAUGCACUUGGUAUUACCUGAGCAUUUGCUUGGCGUAAUCGAUGCUUGUGUUGCUUUGGCGUAAUCGAUGCUUGUGUUGCUUUGGCGUAUGCUUAUAAGAUGAGGACUUCCACCUGAAUGUCCAGAUUAGUUUGAUUGGACACAUCCCAAUUGUAUUGUCUAACCAUUGUGAAACUGGUCCAAUCUAUGAUGCGAUGCU